This 216-nucleotide ribosomal RNA is filed under the name Glomeromycotina sp. RNAcentral describes it as "partial small subunit ribosomal RNA". The stretch from base 40 to 216 matches the Rfam family "Eukaryotic small subunit ribosomal RNA", at positions 686 to 864 of the family's 1831-position model. The record is from RNAcentral. Lineage: Eukaryota; Fungi; Glomeromycota.
GGGUCAGUAGGUUGGUCGUGCCACCGGUACGUACUGGUCUCACUGAUUCCUCCUUCCUGAAGAACCGUAAUGCCAUUAAUCUGGUGUUGCGGGGAAACAGGACUGUUACUUUGAAAAAAUUAGAGUGUUUAAAGCAAGCUAACGCUUGAAUACAUUAGCAUGGAAUAAUGAAAUAGGACGAUCGAUCCUAUUUUGUUGGUUUCUGGGAUUGACGUA